Molecule: long non-coding RNA, 673 nt
Filed under: Rattus norvegicus (Norway rat)
Lineage: Eukaryota; Metazoa; Chordata; Mammalia; Rodentia; Muridae
Description: long non-coding RNA NONRATT014071
Source: RNAcentral
CCAGAGAGUGAUGUCUCAGCUGCUUUCCUCCAGAUCUCGACUGCCCUCUGGCCACGCCCCUGUUUCUGGAAGGCUCCAGGCUGCAACUAACGCUGUUUUGUUAAAUGAAGAUGUUCCAAACUUGAUCUCCUAGGACCUUUUGAGGUGAGAACCAUCCAUCCAUCUGUCCUACAGGCACACCUCUAUUGAUCUGAAGGACAAAGCCAGCAAAAUAAGUUGUCAGUCUUCAUGAUCCAUUCCGUGGCGAGCUGGGAAAAAACGCAGUUGCUAAAUCAACGUCUGAACAGUGUGAGGCUCCUGCCGUCCCAGGAGUCCCUGUGCAAGUGUCCUGAGCACGAGAUCACUGCGCACAGAAGACAGUCCGUCGCAGAGCGCCGACUACCUACAAAGCUCUGAGAGGGGCGCGUCCCUCUUGUGUCUCCUCUUUUUGCCAUGGUAACACUGAGUAUUGGAUUUGCCUGGAUGCUGUUUGCUUGUCAUCAAGGCACCAUGGCUGGUUUGAGCUGUACCUUGGAAGCCUUUGCUGGAAGAACGGAAGAGCCUUGCUGAUCCAUGCUGCGGAAGAAGAGAGCAGUGAGAAACACAGCAGAGCUGUCCACACGCAAACCUGAAUGCAGGGGAAGCUCCCAAAACUAGAAAUGGGUAGGCAUGCCACAUAACAUGGCACCCCACU